Molecule: ribosomal RNA, 774 nt
Filed under: uncultured Neocallimastigales
Lineage: Eukaryota; Fungi; Neocallimastigomycota; Neocallimastigomycetes; Neocallimastigales
Description: partial large subunit ribosomal RNA
Rfam family: Eukaryotic large subunit ribosomal RNA
Source: RNAcentral
CGUCUAUAUACGUAUAGCAUAUCAAUAAGCGGAGGAAAAGAAACUAACUAGGAUUCCCUCAGUAACGGCGAGUGAAGCGGGAAGAGCUCAAAUUUGAAAUCUUCAAGGUUUUACCUUGACGAAUUGUAGUUUAAAGAAGUGUUUUCUGUUGGAGUUUCGGUAAAAGUUCUUUGGAAUAGGACAUCAUAGAGGGUGAGAAUCCCGUAUUUGACCAUUAUUUUCAACUGUGUGAUACACUUUCAAAGAGUCGGAUUGUUUGGGAAUGCAGUCCAAAAUGGGUGGUAAAUUUCAUCUAAAGCUAAAUACUGGCGAGAGACCGAUAGCGAACAAGUACCGUGAGGGAAAGAUGAAAGAACUUUGAAAAGAGAGUUAAACAGUACGUGAAAUUGUCAAAAGGGAAGCGUUUGACACCAGUGUUGUUUUCUCGAAAAUCAAUUAAAAAUGAUUGGAUUUUGUGUUGUAUUGACUUUAUCAGCUUUCUGCACUCUUUUCUUAUCUUUUUUAAUGCACUUUUCGUUUAACAAGUCAACAUCAAUUUCUUUUGUUGUAAAAGGGUCAUUGGAAGGUGGCUUUCACUUUCGGUGAAAGUGUUUAUAGCCUUUGACUUCUGCAAUCGGAGAGAUUGAGGUCUGCAGCGUAGAUCCUUCGGGGUUAGAUACAUUUGUGCUAAGUUAUAGCCUUUCAUAGACAACUUGUUGACUAUGAUCAGUCAUGUAGCUUACUCGCUUAUGCUAUUUUACCUACGCUUAGGAUGUUGACGAUCAGCUGAGCGCG